GACGAACGCUGGCGGCGUGCUUAACACAUGCAAGUCGAACGGAAAGGCCCUGCUUUUGUGGGGUGCUCGAGUGGCGAACGGGUGAGUAACACGUGAGUAACCUGCCCUUGACUUUGGGAUAACUUCAGGAAACUGGGGCUAAUACCGGAUAGGAGCUCCUGCUGCAUGGUGGGGGUUGGAAAGUUUCGGCGGUUGGGGAUGGACUCGCGGCUUAUCAGCUUGUUGGUGGGGUAGUGGCUUACCAAGGCUUUGACGGGUAGCCGGCCUGAGAGGGUGACCGGCCACAUUGGGACUGAGAUACGGCCGAGACUCCUACGGGAGGCAGCAGUGGGGAAUAUUGCACAAUGGGCGGAAGCCUGAUGCAGCAACGCCGCGUGCGGGAUGACGGCCUUCGGGUUGUAAACCGCUUUCGCCUGUGACGAAGCGUGAGUGACGGUAAUGGGUAAAGAAGCACCGGCUAACUACGUG
Molecule: ribosomal RNA, 468 nt
Filed under: uncultured bacterium
Lineage: Bacteria
Description: partial 16S ribosomal RNA
Rfam family: Bacterial small subunit ribosomal RNA
Source: RNAcentral